RNAcentral lists this ribosomal RNA (718 nucleotides) under uncultured bacterium. Its description in RNAcentral is "bacterial SSU rRNA". It matches the Rfam family "Bacterial small subunit ribosomal RNA", at positions 56 to 770 of the family's 1533-position model. The record is from RNAcentral.
UGCAGUCGAGCGGUAGAGAGAAGCUUGCUUCUCUUGAGAGCGGCGGACGGGUGAGUAAUGCCUAGGAAUCUGCCUAGUGGUGGGGGAUAACGUUCGGAAACGGACGCUAAUACCGCAUACGUCCUACGGGAGAAAGCGGGGGAUCUUCGGACCUCGCGCCAUUAGAUGAGCCUAGGUCGGAUUAGCUAGUUGGUGAGGUAAUGGCUCACCAAGGCGACGAUCCGUAACUGGUCUGAGAGGAUGAUCAGUCACACUGGAACUGAGACACGGUCCAGACUCCUACGGGAGGCAGCAGUGGGGAAUAUUGGACAAUGGGCGAAAGCCUGAUCCAGCCAUGCCGCGUGUGUGAAGAAGGUCUUCGGAUUGUAAAGCACUUUAAGUUGGGAGGAAGGGCAGUAACCUAAUACAUUAUUGUUUUGACGUUACCGACAGAAUAAGCACCGGCUAACUUCGUGCCAGCAGCCGCGGUAAUACGAAGGGUGCAAGCGUUAAUCGGAAUUACUGGGCGUAAAGCGCGCGUAGGUGGUUCAGUAAGUUGGAAGUGAAAUCCCCGGGCUCAACCUGGGAACUGCUUUCAAAACUGCUGAGCCAGAGUACGGUAGAGGGUGGUGGAAUUUCCUGUGUAGCGGUGAAAUGCGUAGAUAUAGGAAGGAACACCAGUGGCGAAGGCGACCACCUGGACUGAUACUGACACUGAGGUGCGAAAGCGUGGGGAGCA